CCUACGGGGUGCUGCAGUGAGGAAUAUUGGUCAAUGGACGAGAGUCUGAACCAGCCAAGUAGCGUGAAGGAUGACUGCCCUAUGGGUUGUAAACUUCUUUUAUAUGGGAAUAAAAUGUUCCACGUGUGGGAUUUUGUAUGUACCAUAUGAAUAAGGAUCGGCUAACUCCGUGCCAGCAGCCGCGGUAAUACGGAGGAUCCGAGCGUUAUACGGAUUUAUUGGGUUUAAAGGGAGCGUAGGUGGAUUGUUAAGUCAGUUGUGAAAGUGUGCGGCUCAACCGUAAAAUUGCAGUUGAAACUGGCAGUCUUGAGUACAGUAGAGGUGGGCGGAAUUCGUGGUGUAGCGGUGAAAUGCUUAGAUAUCACGAAGAACUCCGAUUGCGAAGGCAGUUCACUGGACUGCAACUGACACUGAGGCUCGAAAGUGUGGGUAUCAAACAGGAUUAGAUACCCGGGUAGUC
Molecule: ribosomal RNA, 460 nt
Filed under: uncultured bacterium
Lineage: Bacteria
Description: partial 16S ribosomal RNA
Rfam family: Bacterial small subunit ribosomal RNA
Source: RNAcentral